Molecule: transfer RNA, 72 nt
Organism: Camelus ferus (Wild Bactrian camel)
Lineage: Eukaryota; Metazoa; Chordata; Mammalia; Artiodactyla; Camelidae
Rfam family: tRNA
About the family: Transfer RNA (tRNA) molecules are approximately 80 nucleotides in length. Their secondary structure includes four short double-helical elements and three loops (D, anti-codon, and T loops). Further hydrogen bonds mediate the characteristic L-shaped molecular structure. tRNAs have two regions of fundamental functional importance: the anti-codon, which is responsible for specific mRNA codon recognition, and the 3' end, to which the tRNAs corresponding amino acid is attached (by aminoacyl-tRNA synthetases). tRNAs cope with the degeneracy of the genetic code in two manners: having more than one tRNA (with a specific anti-codon) for a particular amino acid; and 'wobble' base-pairing, i.e. permitting non-standard base-pairing at the 3rd anti-codon position.
Source: Rfam
GAGGGUAUAGCUAAGUGGUAGAGUGCGUGCUUAGCAUGCACAAGGUCCUAGGUUCAAUCUCCAGUACCUCCA